Molecule: ribosomal RNA, 642 nt
Filed under: Citricoccus nitrophenolicus
Lineage: Bacteria; Bacillati; Actinomycetota; Actinomycetes; Micrococcales; Micrococcaceae
Description: bacterial SSU rRNA
Rfam family: Bacterial small subunit ribosomal RNA
Source: RNAcentral
CAGUCGAACGCUGAAGCUCCAGCUUGCUGGGGUGGAUGAGUGGCGAACGGGUGAGUAACACGUGAGUAACCUUCCCUUGACUCUGGGAUAAGCCCGGGAAACUGGGUCUAAUACCGGAUACGACCUCCUGCCGCAUGGUGUGGGGGUGGAAAGAUUUAUCGGUCUUGGAUGGACUCGCGGCCUAUCAGCUUGUUGGUGAGGUAAUGGCUCACCAAGGCGACGACGGGUAGCCGGCCUGAGAGGGUGACCGGCCACACUGGGACUGAGACACGGCCCAGACUCCUACGGGAGGCAGCAGUGGGGAAUAUUGCACAAUGGGCGCAAGCCUGAUGCAGCGACGCCGCGUGAGGGAUGACGGCCUUCGGGUUGUAAACCUCUUUCAGUAGGGAAGAAGCGAAAGUGACGGUACCUGCAGAAGAAGCGCCGGCUAACUACGUGCCAGCAGCCGCGGUAAUACGUAGGGCGCGAGCGUUAUCCGGAAUUAUUGGGCGUAAAGAGCUCGUAGGCGGUUUGUCGCGUCUGCCGUGAAAGUCCGGGGCUUAACCCCGGAUCUGCGGUGGGUACGGGCAGACUAGAGUGCAGUAGGGGAGACUGGAAUUCCUGGUGUAGCGGUGAAAUGCGCAGAUAUCAGGAGGAACACCG